CAGACACCUGUAGCUCCUGCUGCUCCAUGAGACAGAAAGAGACGCAGAGACAGAAAGAUGUAGAGAAAGACAAAGAAAGAGACUUGGAAAGGAACUGCCACUAAGAAGAACUACAGGACUUCCUGGAUCCCCCACCAGGGGACACACCCGUGCUCGAACCCAUCAUGACUCCAGAAAGAGGAAGAAGCUGCAGACAAACACUGGCUUCCCAUAUAAACCCUGCUCUGAGGACACAGUGAAUCGAAUCCAUAUAAUGGCCGAUGCGGAUGAGUAGCGUUGGAUCGAACACAGAUUAAAAGGCUCUGAAACAAGGGACAUAAAUCAGCGGGACAGAGUGAGCGGGGGAAACAGCCCAUAAUGAUCACCAGGUGUAACCUGGAAGGUGUCUGGACUCCCACAGAGGCCGACCGGACUGGAGCACGACAUCUGGUCUCUGUGACACUUAAUAUCACUUUAUGUACAAGUGCAUAC
This is a long non-coding RNA of Paralichthys olivaceus (Japanese flounder), 471 nucleotides long. RefSeq lists it as uncharacterized. NCBI's taxonomy places the organism in Eukaryota, Metazoa, Chordata, Actinopteri, Pleuronectiformes, Paralichthyidae. The record is from RefSeq and is a predicted model, not a curated record.